AUGUGGCCGCCGCUGCCCUUCUCUCUUUCACUCCUGACCUUUGUCUCUCUAUCCCUGGCACCAAUGUGCCUGUACGGUGGCAUACACACAGCCACAGCUGGAAGGGCAAUUGGCGUUGGAAUCCCCCUUGCUGCCGCUUCUCAUUGCGAGUCCAACCUCUUAACGGCGGUGAUGAUUCUGAUGGCAAUAGUUGUGGAUGCCACAUCAAAAGGUUCCGCAAAGAAAAUCAUCCAUCAUGAAAAACAAACAAUUGACAAGUUUUUCCAGGUGGUUCAGGGUAUCAAUGCUUGUGCACAGAUUGCAGUACUAUGCUCCUUUUGCUUUGCUGUACAUAUCAAUGGUAAUGGUCUAGUUCUCAGGUCAUAA
This 366-nucleotide ribosomal RNA is filed under the name Triticum aestivum (bread wheat). Its description in RNAcentral is "partial small subunit ribosomal RNA". The record is from RNAcentral. Lineage: Eukaryota; Viridiplantae; Streptophyta; Magnoliopsida; Poales; Poaceae.